AUGGACUCAAGAAAAAGAAAGCAAAGGCAAGACGAGUCAGAUUCUGAUACAGAAUCUGAAUCUGAACCAAGUGAUGAGAGCGAAGAAUCAUCGCCUGCGGAGAAGGAGAAGAAAAAGAAAGAAACAAAAACAACUCCAAAAAAAACACAACAAAAAAAGAAAAAAGUUGUUGUGGAUGAUUCACCUCCUGAAGAAGAUCAAUACUUUGACGGUGAGAGAUAUGAAAUAUCAAGUGACGAACUCGAUGAAUGGCUAAGGGAAAACGUUGAUAAAUCUGCUGCAGAGGGGGAGAACCAAGCUGACCUGCGAUCGACAGAAGGUCGCUAUGUGUCCUCUGAAACACUACCGGCUGUGAACUUGGGAAGUGAUGAUCCUUCCUCUCAAGGACGCACAGAACAGAGUAGUGUAAACCAGCCGUCUCAGAGCAUGUUGACUCCGAC
Molecule: long non-coding RNA, 440 nt
Organism: Arachis duranensis
Lineage: Eukaryota; Viridiplantae; Streptophyta; Magnoliopsida; Fabales; Fabaceae
Exons: 7
Source: RefSeq, a predicted model, not a curated record